RNAcentral lists this ribosomal RNA (497 nucleotides) under uncultured bacterium. RNAcentral's name for it is "partial 16S ribosomal RNA". It matches the Rfam family "Bacterial small subunit ribosomal RNA", at positions 28 to 507 of the family's 1533-position model. The record is from RNAcentral.
GAUGAACGCUGGCGGCGUGCCUAAUACAUGCAAGUCGAGCGAACGGACGAGAAGCUUGCUUCUCUGAUGUUAGCGGCGGACGGGUGAGUAACACGUGGAUAACCUACCUAUAAGACUGGGAUAACUUCGGGAAACCGUAGCUAAUACCGGAUAAUAUUUUGAACCGCAUGGUUCAAAAGUGAAAGGCGGUCUUGCUGUCACUUAUAGAUGGAUCCGCGCUGCAUUAGCUAGUUGGUAAGGUAACGGCUUACCAAGGCAACGAUGCAUAGCCGACCUGAGAGGGUGAUAGGACAAACUGGAACUGAGACAAGGUCCAGACUCCUAAGGGAGGCAGCAGUAGGGAAUCUUCCGCAAUGGGCGAAAGCCUGAAGGAGCAACGCCGCGUGAGUGAUGAAGGUCUUCGGAUAGGAAAAAUCUGUUAUUAGGGAAGAACAUAUGUGUAAGUAACUGUGCACAUCUUGAAGGUACCUAAUCGGAAAGCCACGGCUAACUACGUG